Molecule: ribosomal RNA, 834 nt
Filed under: Cortinarius sp. 'cramesinus 2' FS-2012
Lineage: Eukaryota; Fungi; Basidiomycota; Agaricomycetes; Agaricales; Cortinariaceae
Description: eukaryotic LSU rRNA
Rfam family: Eukaryotic large subunit ribosomal RNA
Source: RNAcentral
CCCCUAGUAACUGCGAGUGAAGCGGGAAAAGCUCAAAUUUAAAAUCUGGCGGCCUUUGGUUGUCCGAGUUGUAAUCUAGAGAAGUGUUAUCCGCGCUGGACCCGUGUACAAGUCUCCUGGAAUGGAGCGUCAUAGAGGGUGAGAAUCCCGUCUUUGACACGGACUGCCAGGGCUUUGUGAUGCGCUCUCAAAGAGUCGAGUUGUUUGGGAAUGCAGCUCAAAAUGGGUGGUAAAUUCCAUCUAAAGCUAAAUAUUGGCGAGAGACCGAUAGCGAACAAGUACCGUGAGGGAAAGAUGAAAAGAACUUUGGAAAGAGAGUUAAACAGUACGUGAAAUUGCUGAAAGGGAAACGCUUGAAGUCAGUCGCGUUGUCCAGGGAUCAACCUUGCUUUUGCUUGGUGCACUUUCUGGUUGACGGGUCAGCAUCAAUUUUGACUAUUGGAAAAAGAUUAGGGGAAUGUGGCAUCUUCGGAUGUGUUAUAGCCCUUGGUUGCAUACAAUGGUUGGGAUUGAGGAACUCAGCACGCCGCAAGGCCGGGUUUUUAACCACGUACGUGCUUAGGAUGCUGGCAUAAUGGCUUUAAUCGACCCGUCUUGAAACACGGACCAAGGAGUCUAACAUGCCUGCGAGUGUUUGGGUGGAAAACCCGAGCGCGUAAUGAAAGUGAAAGUUGAGAUCCCUGUCGUNGGGGAGCAUCGACGCCCGGACCAGACCUUUUGUGACGGCUCCGCGGUAGAGCAUGUAUGUUGGGACCCGAAAGAUGGUGAACUAUGCCUGAAUAGGGUGAAGCCAGAGGAAACUCUGGUGGAGGCUCGUAGCGAUUCUGACGUGCA